UGUCCACCAUAAUUCGGUCAACAAUGGCGUGGGCCAGUUGAGUAGAAAUCACCAAGGCAUCGUCGUGGGGAAAAUCUACUCCAUCAGCAUCCUGCUCGGUGAAGCCAACGGUUGGUCCAAGUACAGCAUCUACGGCUUAAACCUGAAAGAUCGAUCUCGCAUGCUGGAUUUUCCUCUUCUUAGAACUAUUGGUGCCCCCAAAUGCUCGGAUUCGACAAAAAUACCGUUGAUUCGGAUCAUCUUGGCUAAGGGUUUGGCAUCGGCAUCUACUUCUUAUCUUGGCCAGGUAGUUGGCUUGUCGACAUACUAGUCGCAUUUGCCUUAUUUUACAAGCUUCUUUAAGUACUUCAUCCACUUGAUGUAGUCGUUGGUCGCGUACCUCAGACCUCUAUGGAAUGCACAAUAUUUUGUCUGGUCCAUCUUGGAAAUGUCUCCCCUUAUGGGUUGCAGCAUCUUAAACCAUGACUUGUCUUUAAGGUCGCAAAUGAACUGGUUGAUCCGGGACUAAGAACUUGGUGUACAUCUUGGGUGCUGAGCCUCCAUUCGUCUGAGAUCGGUCCCUACGUUUGCUUUCUGGCUUGUUUUUGUCAUUGAGCAGUUUAUCGCCCACCUUUUUCUGAGCUAGCUCUGUUCUUUCCACAACUGCUUAGGCGAUCUGUGAGUGCUUGGCCUCAUCCUAAAGGGAGUGUUUUUCUGCCAAAGCAUAAAAAUCUGCCAAGGUCAAGUUUUUGCCCAUAAUCAGCUAUUUGAAAAGUGGGUGAUCUGCUAGGAGCUCAUUCCGGAAAGCUGAGCUUGCAAUUUUAUCAUCACUUCUGACGAUCUUCGUAUUUUCUUCCUUGAACCUCUUGAUGUAUGUACGGAGUGACUCAUUCGGAUCCUUCUUCAUGUUGAAAAGAUGGUCAGACUUCUUCUUGAUCGAGCGGUAGGAUGAAUAUUCCUUAGUGAAAACCAAGGAAAGUUCAUUGAAGUUCUGGAUUGAACGUGG
RNAcentral lists this long non-coding RNA (985 nucleotides) under Malus domestica (apple). RNAcentral's name for it is "long non-coding RNA (MDOM_LNC018031)". The record is from RNAcentral. Lineage: Eukaryota; Viridiplantae; Streptophyta; Magnoliopsida; Rosales; Rosaceae.